RNAcentral lists this microRNA precursor (118 nucleotides) under Podarcis lilfordi (Lilford's wall lizard). Lineage: Eukaryota; Metazoa; Chordata; Lepidosauria; Squamata; Lacertidae. The record is from RNAcentral.
AUAGGCAAACUCCGGCCCUCCAGAUGUUUGGGACUACAAUUCCCAUCAUCCCAGACCUGUUAGCUAGGGAUGAUGGGAAUUGUAGUCCCAAACAUCUGGAGGGCCGGAGUUUGCCUAU